GACCUAAACCGCUUGGGCGGCAUGGUUGUAACAAAAUCCAUCGCGAAAUGAAAAGCUCGUCGUCAGAGCACUAUUUCGCGAUGGUCAGUAUCGGAAACGAUACUGGGUAGCCUAGGCUACC
Molecule: small RNA, 121 nt
Filed under: unclassified sequences
Description: LOOT RNA
Rfam family: LOOT RNA
About the family: Latescibacteria, OD1/Parcubacteria, OP11, TM7. Lineage (Microgenomates, aka OP11)
Source: Rfam by way of RNAcentral